CAAACAUAUCCUCAAAGAGCACUAAAACUCUGGAGGCUGCAACGAGUAUUCUGGCCUGGCCUCGUGACUGAAGUAAGAGAACCAGGAAACAGUUCAUGUAAUACAUAGCUGUCCAGAGGACAGAGCUAGUUAGACCUUUGAAAGCCUAUCCAACUUGGAAAGACUGGGUCUGUUUCAUGCCUGAAGUAUUCAUUUGCACCUUGUCAGACCUUGUAUCCCUGGAUUUAUUUCUUCUGGGUUUUAGCACAAUCCAAAUGUCCACCCCUUUAAUCCUCAUUGGUUAGCUUAGAUAAGCCUUCAUGCUUACCCCUAACUGAUCCUGCUUAGUGCGUGAUCUCCACGGGGCCACCUCUGGGGCUGUGAACUUACUGAUGUCCAUCUUUGUAUUGACGACAAAGUGUGCCUUCUCGUACAAAAAGCCUGUGCCUACUAUUCCCUCGCUGAUGACUUCAGUGUUUUACUUCCCUGGACAUGACGAAUUCUCUUUCUUCACUGGAGGUGUUUGUGAAGGGGGAGCAAAGCUGGCUGAGGUUAAAUAGCGGUGAGCUGUUUUGUGUGACCUGAGGGAGAAUAAGAACUCUCUCUCCUCAAAUGUCACAUCUCAGCCCCUACUCUGUUGGGCAGGGAGCCCAGAAGGCCUGAAAUUAAUGGGAGAUUAACCAGCAAGAGAGACCAUGAAGCAAAAGCUUGGAAACCAACUCAGGAAUAGCAUGGUCCAAGCAUGGUGACCCAUCCCAAAGAACAACCAGUGACACAGUCCAAAGACCAAAGCCAGGACUCCACCAGAGGAGGUGAGAGAUCCAGAGGGUAAGCCCAAAAACACAGCUGGUGUCCAGAAGGAAGAACAACAGGUUCAAAGUGAGGUUGGCACGCAGAUCAAAGUUAGUCCAUCAUCACAGAGCGCCCCUUCCCUAAUAUUACGGUUAUGAUCCCCAGCAUCUUGUUCAGGGACUCAAUCUGAGAUCCUUGAGCUUGUGUGUGUGUGUGUGUGUGUGUGUGUA
This 1001-nucleotide long non-coding RNA is filed under the name Phascolarctos cinereus (koala). RNAcentral's name for it is "lncRNA (ENSPCIG00000024548.2)". Lineage: Eukaryota; Metazoa; Chordata; Mammalia; Diprotodontia; Phascolarctidae. The record is from RNAcentral.